RNAcentral lists this ribosomal RNA (253 nucleotides) under uncultured bacterium. Its description in RNAcentral is "partial 16S ribosomal RNA". It matches the Rfam family "Bacterial small subunit ribosomal RNA", at positions 524 to 776 of the family's 1533-position model. The record is from RNAcentral.
UACGUAGGUGGCAAGCGUUGUCCGGAAUUAUUGGGCGUAAAGCGCGCGCAGGCGGUCCUUUAAGUCUGAUGUGAAAGCCCACGGCUCAACCGUGGAGGGUCAUUGGAAACUGGGGGACUUGAGUGCAGAAGAGGAGAGUGGAAUUCCACGUGUAGCGGUGAAAUGCGUAGAGAUGUGGAGGAACACCAGUGGCGAAGGCGACUCUCUGGUCUGUAACUGACGCUGAGGCGCGAAAGCGUGGGGAGUAAACAGG